Molecule: signal recognition particle RNA, 313 nt
Filed under: Methanomicrobia archaeon
Lineage: Archaea; Methanobacteriati; Methanobacteriota; Methanomicrobia
Description: signal recognition particle sRNA
Rfam family: Archaeal signal recognition particle RNA
Source: RNAcentral
AUGAUGACUAGGCCGGGAGGCCAGGCGUCUCCUGUAACCUGAAAUCGUCUAUAGGCAGGGGCCGAAGCCUGAGGAGAGGCAGACAAAUCCAGGAUGGAGAGCUGCUCACGCCAGUGAAGCUCUGUCUCUCUUGAUCGACAUCGAAAGGGCUCUUUCUGGAGGGAAAGAGCUACUUUCCUGACUCCCAAACCCCGUGAGGCCCGGAAGGGAACAGCGGUAGGGAGAAUGUUCGAUGCUUGAGAGGUCACAGGGCAGAGAACGGAGCAGUUUUGAAGUUCUGGAGGAGUCUGUCCAUCCUCAGGCGUGUCGUUGA